GCACCUGUGGCGGAAUUGGCAGACGCGCCAGAUUUAGGAUCUGGUAUCUUUGAUGUGCAGGUUCGACCCCUGUCAGGUGCACCA
This 84-nucleotide transfer RNA is filed under the name Clostridia bacterium. RNAcentral's name for it is "tRNA-Leu". It matches the Rfam family "tRNA". Rfam says of the family: Transfer RNA (tRNA) molecules are approximately 80 nucleotides in length. Their secondary structure includes four short double-helical elements and three loops (D, anti-codon, and T loops). The record is from RNAcentral. Lineage: Bacteria; Bacillati; Bacillota; Clostridia.